UUUCCGUGACCGGCUGUACAUGUGCUUUCGACACGCCGAAAGCGAGUACAUGCGCUUUCGACACGCCGAAAGCGAGCACAUGUAUGUAUGUACACUGCACUGUACAUGGGCUCGUGCUUACAGCGCCUCGCUACGAUAAAUGGCUGAAUUUAUAGGUGUGAAAAAGUGAUGUUCUGACGAAAUUUGUGUUGCAUGCCAUUUCGUUAUUAUUUGCUUAAUUAUGAAAAUGUGAUUUGUUUCGUACUUAUCAAAGUCAUAAUUAUCGACGAAAAGUAAAAUUAUCUUGAAAUUUUAUAUGUAGAAGCGUAUUUUUCACUCGUUUCAAUAGGUGUCAGACCGUGUGUUUCUGCCCGAGAUAACUUGUUUUAUGUGCCUUUUACGAUUGUCAAGGGAGAAAAGAACAGUUUUCGUCGAUUUUUAUGUUUUUAAGCGAUCUCGUUAUUUAGACAAAUUGUAUUUAUUUACAAAUGGCAUGCAACAUAAAUUACCAUAGGCACAAAGCCUAAAUUAAGUGUCAUUUUCUCACUUCUGAUGUCACGACUCUAACUGGCCGCACGGAACAAAUACAAGAAGGAUGUAGAACAGAAAAAAGAACAAGACACAUAACAAGGAACAGGAAGAAGCCUCUCUUUCAUGUGUAAAAAUAACAACAGACCGAAUCUCGGCAGGAUUUUGAACAAACACAACAUCCGAACCAUUUUCAAGCUUCCAAAGAAGAUCGAACAAAUCUUGAGAAAUCCUCAAGCUCAAAGACUUCUAUUCAGUGGAGUACAAAAUAUACUUACUUAUUCUUGCGGGAAAGUAUACAUCGGUGAAACCGAAAGAAUGGUCAACAUGCGCAUGAAGGAACAUCAACGGGCUGUUCAUGUCAGGCUGGAACAUGUCAUUCAAUCAGCAUUGGCAAAACAGCGUUGAGGACAUUAAAUAUUAUUCGAAAAUAAUUAUUCGAAUAAAAUGGCUACUAUAGCUAUAACGAUGUCAUAUUUUCCGAGGAAAUACAAAGAGGCUUUAAAAAUACAGAAACAUCUAGGCAAUUUGAAUAGAGUUUCAGAUUAUAAUCUGCUUCCUCAACAAAACACCAUUUAACUAUGUCAAAUAAGUAACGAGAAUACGUCAUGACAUGAAGAAAACAUGACGGACGCUCUGUUCUAGAACUUACAU
Long non-coding RNA from Acromyrmex echinatior (Panamanian leafcutter ant), 1161 nucleotides. Lineage: Eukaryota; Metazoa; Arthropoda; Insecta; Hymenoptera; Formicidae. The record is from RefSeq and is a predicted model, not a curated record.